RNAcentral lists this ribosomal RNA (2497 nucleotides) under Triticum aestivum (bread wheat). RNAcentral's name for it is "partial small subunit ribosomal RNA". The record is from RNAcentral. Lineage: Eukaryota; Viridiplantae; Streptophyta; Magnoliopsida; Poales; Poaceae.
CCGUAGGAUGCCUCUUCUUCCCCUGCGGGCUGCGGCCUCAUCCAUGAAUAGCGCCGCCGGCCUCCGCAUCUCCUGCGCCGUCACCCGGCCCUUUGUCCUCGAUGCGCCACCGCGUGCGCGAGCUCCCCCGGCCGCCGCUCGAAUAGCCAAUCCAAGCCGCAUCAGCUCGACGCCUUUCGCCUUGUCCAACGACCUCCUCCCUCUCGACCGUCGGAGGACCUGGAAUGGGUGGGAGGCGCAGAGGUCGGGCACGAGACCAGCUUUCGGUCAGUCAACGUUUGGCGCUCCACAUCACCAACUACUUCUGAAGGAUUGCAGGAAGGAGCAGCAAGAAGAAAAUUCUAUCCGUACUAGCGGCACGGCGUGGUUUGCAAGAUUUACCCCAUCUUGUCAGUCUGGACCUCAGUAGCAACUCUCUCUGGGGCGUAAUUCCAUCAAGUAUUGGCGCUCUUGCCAAGCUCGCGCUCUUAGAUCUAUCCUUCAAUCUUCUUGAUGGACCCAUCCCGCCAUCCAUAGGUAGUUGUACUAAACUAACCUCUCUUGAUCUCUCACAUAAUAUUUUGUCCAAAAGAUCAAUUCGAAGCAUAGGAAAUUUGAUGAGUUUACGAUACUUAGAUCUUUCCAACAAUCAAAUAAAUGGUUCCUUCCCUUCGCCAUUUUGAAAUUAGCCUCUCUAACAACACUGGCACUUGGAUACAAUCAGCUUAAGGGCCUAUUACCGUCACAAUUUGGAUCUCUUAUUAUUCUCUCACAUCUGGAUCUUUCCAACAAUCAGAUCACGGGUUCCAUUGGUAGCAUAGCAAAUCUAACAAGUUUAGAAUUUCUGGAUCUUUCCAACAAUCGGAUCACGGGUUCCAUUGGUAGCACAGGAAAUCUAACAAGUUUAGAGUUCUUGGAUCUUUCCAACAAUCGAAUAAAUGGUUCCAUCCCUUCGACAUUCUCAAAAUUAAUCUCUCUUACAACACUAUCACUCAAGUCCAAUCAGCUUAAUGGAAUGUUACCACCAGAGUUAGGAUCUCUUGUUCUUCUCUCAUAUCUGGAUCUAAGUAGAAAUCAAUUUUCAGGAAGCAUUCCACCUCAGAUAGGACAAUGUCAGUUUUUAUCGUCGUUACUCGUGUCAGACAACUUAUUGACAGGACAGAUACCACAAGAAAUUGGAUAUCUUGCCAACUUAUAUGAGCUCGAUUUGAGUAAAAACAAUUUAAGCAGUGCCAUCCCAGUGACUUUCUCUUAUUUUUACCAACUGUUGGAACUGAAUUUAUCAUAUAAUAAUUUGGAUGGCAGUGUUCCAUUUAUCGCUGCUGCCAUGAUCUCACUUGACCAUAAUACGUACUUAUGCGGCAAUUUGUAUGGCUUAACUCCAUGUGAUACACCGAAGCUCGACGUGGAUCACCAAAAUAGGAAACAUCCAAGUAUGGUACUUCUUGCUCUUUUUGCACCCUUUUCCUUUGCUUGCCUCUCAAUAGUAAGCAUCAUGGUCGUCUGUUGGAGAAGAAAGUAUGUAAAAAGCACAACCAAAAGCAAGUCUGGAGAUAUACUUUCCAUAUGGAAUUUUGAUGGGAAGAUCGCGUUCGAAGACAUCCUCAGCGCAACAGAAAAUUUCGAUGAGAAAUAUUGCAUUGGUGUUGGAGGAUACGGAUCUGUCUUCAGAGUUCAUCUUGAAGGCGGGAUUACCUUUGCCGUCAAGCUCCUUCACUCAGUGGAAGAAUACAGCGACGAGGGAACAUUUCACGCCGAGAUUGAAGUGUUGACAAAAAACAGGCACCGAUGCAUCGUUAAGCUGUAUGGCUUCUGUUCCCACUCCCAGUGCAAAUUCCUCGUGUAUGAUCUUAUCGAGAGGGGAAGCUUGUCAUCCAUUAUGCACGAGCAAGGGCUUGCGAAGAAGCUGGAUUGGCCCAGGAGAGUUGCUGUUGUGACAGACGUAGCUCAAGCUCUCUCCUACUUGCACCAUGACUGCGGCGAUCCAAUCGUGCACCGCGACAUAAAAAGCAGCAACAUUCUUCUGGACAUCGAUUAUAAGGCUUAUGUUUCGGACUUCGGCAUGGCGAGGAAACUGAAGCAUGGCUACUCAAGCUGGAGCACUAUUUUUGCAGGCACAUGUGGCUACAUAGCUCCUGAGCUGUCAUCUACCAUGGUUUUGACUGAGAAGUGCGACGUGUACAGCUUUGGUGUGGUUGCGCUGGAAGUUUUAAUGGGAAAGCACCCAGGCGAUCUCCUCCUUCCGUUCUUUUGCCGAACAGAGCAGCAAGGGAAGUUCAAGGAUACCCUGGAUCGACGCGUCGCAGCACCGUCCACCGUCGAGGAGGAGAAGGAUGUCAUUUUGGUUGCCUUGGUGGCCUUUGCUUGCCUGCAAGUCAACCCCAAAGCUCGGCCAACAAUGCAGCAGGUAUAUCACCCACUAACAAAUAGAAACCACCCAGGGCUCAUGCUCAGACCCCUUCCUGAAAUCAGUCUUCAAGGGUUGCAUGAGUAUUGUGGCACCAUAAAGAAUAUAUGA